AGACAGUGAAGUCACCAGGCCUGGCUUCAGGACAGCAACCCCCUGUUGAGAUCCCCACCACAACCAAGCUAUGAGGCAUAUGAGGGUUGAAAGCAAUGAGACUUUCUAAGCCUACAAAACAGGGGUCUGAACAGCAGAUCUGCCUUCCCAUGGCCUUGCUUGGAGGACAGAAGGAAUGAGGCAUGAAAGGAUGAUAUGGAGGAACCAGAUCCUGAAAGAUGAAGAGGGCUUGGCUGCAAAAGAAGGGAAGGACAGGAGUUUGUCAAUAAAGACUGGAAGGCAGCAAUUUGCAGGGCUUUUUAAUUGCAAAGGAAUGACUGGCAAAAAGUUCGAGAAAAGCAGGGAAGUAAAUUGUAUAGAUAAGAUGAGCCUGGAUUAAAAUAACAGUGAAACCAGAUGGACAAGGUAUCUGGAAAGGAAAAGAAAUAAGGUUCCAGAGUUUUUUUUUUUUCCAAACAACAGUGACUUAGCAUUUAAGGAAGAUCGGCCUGAGAAUGGUACAUAAUCUGGCCAGAGCUGAGAAGACUGAAAGACAUGUGGAAAAGCAGCUAUGAUCCAUUCUUAGUAGAGGUAAUAGAGAAAAGCAGAGACAGCAGACAGAGUCUAAAGGAAAAAACUGGGGUCGGGCUUUAGCUCAGCAGUAGAGUCGGCAUAUGCAAGGUGCCCUAGACCCCUGAUACUGCAAAAUAAGUGAAUAAACAAAAAAAAAGUGAAAAGACUAGACAAUCAACUGCAUAUGGAGGACAAAGAUAUGUUAAUGUUCAUUCAAAUACGAGUCUGGGUGACUACAAGAACAUCUGCUCUGUUUGAAAAAAGAAUGCAUUGAUGAUUUUUUGUUUCUUUGAUUUACUGGGGGUUCGUUUUAAGCUCUCUCUCCACAGAGUAUUCUCAGCUGAUAUAUGUUAAUCAUGAUACAUAUCUUAACGAUGACACAGCUAUUCAUUGCAAGUGUUUGUUAGUGUGCUUUCUUGAUUCUUCCCGCCUUGAUUUAACGUCAAUUUCUACACUCUAGCUUUGCAAUAAAAUGUUUAGCAUUAUGUCUUAUUAUUUUUAUCUGUGUAUCCCUAAAUCCAAAAGAGUAGAAUAAUUUGUAGAAUUCGUCUGUCCUUAUUUGAAUAGUACAUUAUUUUUCUGAAUUUUAGCUGCCCAAGUCCGUGGCAAGAUGUAAUUCUAGAUUAUUACACUAGAUGGCAGAAAACAACUACUUUCUCUUCAUUCCAUUCAGCAUAAUAAAGCCACUGUACGGAAAAAUUAA
Molecule: long non-coding RNA, 1255 nt
Organism: Marmota monax (woodchuck)
Lineage: Eukaryota; Metazoa; Chordata; Mammalia; Rodentia; Sciuridae
Exons: 2
Source: RefSeq, a predicted model, not a curated record